Molecule: long non-coding RNA, 475 nt
Organism: Malus domestica (apple)
Lineage: Eukaryota; Viridiplantae; Streptophyta; Magnoliopsida; Rosales; Rosaceae
Source: RefSeq, a predicted model, not a curated record
ACGCCAGUCGUACCUUUCCUAUCAAUGCACCCAAGACAAUGAUUGUUGGUAAAAGAACAGCAUUUCUAUUACCACUCUGGUUAGUCGAUCAAUCGAACAAUAUCUUUGAAAAUCCUGAUUAUUAUAGGGCAAUUCAGGACUUGUAGUAUAAAGCCACAAGCCCCUGCUCUCACAAAGCACGCUCUUAUUGAUCCAAUUAUCUAUAACUUGGAGAGCAUUGAGUUUUGCAGAGAGGAGAAGGUUGUGUGCAGGUUUUCAUGGCUUCUUCAUCCAUGAACAUGUCUACAGAGGGGGUUUGAUCUACUAGACUGAGGAGUCGGGCACUAAUAGCCUGACCUUGCGCCUGAGGCCAUGUGACGUUAGGGUGAUGCCACCCAUGUUAUAAUUUUUUUUGCACCAGGCGCGUGUGCUUCAUGUGUGCGUGAUGGCUAGUAUUCCAACAAAAUGCAAGUUGCAGGGUACUUUUUACUAUUAA